AGGUCACUGCUAUUGGGAUUCGACUAAGCCAUGCGAGUCGAGAGGGUUCGGCCCUCGGCUGACUGCUCAGUAACACGUGGAUAAUUUGCCCUAAGGUGGAGGAUAACCUCGGGAAACUGAGAAUAAUACUCCAUAGGUCUAAGAUACUGGAAUGUUCUUAGGCUGAAAACUCCGGUGCCUUAGGAUAAGUCUGCGGACUAUCAGGUUGUAGUCAGGGUAAAGACCUGACUAGCCUAUGACGGAUAUGGGUUGUGGGAGCAAUAACCCAGAGAUGAUAUCUGAGACACGAUACCAGGCCCUACGGGGCGCAGCAGGCGCGAAAACUUCACACUGCGCGAAAGCGCGAUGAGGGAAUCCCAAGUGCUUGCACGUAAGUGUAAGCUGUUUCUUUGUUUAAAAAGCAUAGAGAGUAAGGGCUGGGUAAGACGGGUGCCAGCCGCCGCGGUAAUACCUGCAGCUCGAGUGGUGAUCGUUAUUGUUGGGCCUAAAACGUCCGUAGCCGGUUUGGUAAAUGCCUGGGUAAAUCGUGCCGCUCAACGGUACGACUUCCGGGUAGACUGCUAAACUUGAGACCGGGAGAGGCUAGAGGUACUCCUGGGGUAGAGGUGAAAUUCUGUAAUCCUAGGGGGACCACCAGUGGCGAAGGCGUCUAGCUAGAACGGUCUACGGUGAGGGACGAAGCCCUGGGGCGCAAACCGGAUUAGAUACCCGGGUAGUCCAGGGUGUAAACGCUGCUUGCUUGAUGCUAGUCGGGCUCCGAGCCCGAUUAGUGUCGGAGAGAAGUUGUUAAGCAAGCUGCCUGGGAAGUACGGUCGCGGGACUGAAACUUAAAGGAAUUGGCGGGGGAGCACAGCAACAGGUGGAGCGUGCGGUUUAAUAGGAUUCAACGCCGGAAAACUCACCGGAGGCGACGGUUACAUGAAGGCCAGGCUGAUGACCUUGCCUGAUUUUCCGAGAGGUGGUGCAUGGCCGCCGUCAGUUCGUACCGUAAGGCGUUCUGUUAAGUCAGAUAACGAACGAGACCCUCAUCUUUAAUUGCUACUAGUAAGUCCGCUUACUGGGCACAUUAGAGAGACCGCUGGCGAUAAGUCAGAGGAAGGCGGGGGCAACGGUAGGUCAGUAUGCCCUGAAUCCUCCGGGCUACACGCGCGCUACAAAGGCUAGGACAAUGAGUUUCACA
RNAcentral lists this ribosomal RNA (1180 nucleotides) under uncultured archaeon. RNAcentral's name for it is "bacterial SSU rRNA". It matches the Rfam family "Archaeal small subunit ribosomal RNA", at positions 21 to 1209 of the family's 1478-position model. The record is from RNAcentral.